AGCGAACGCUGGCGGCAGGCCUAACACAUGCAAGUCGAACGGAUCCUUCGGGAUUAGUGGCGGACGGGUGAGUAACACGUGGGAACGUGCCUUUUGGUUCGGAACAACUCAGGGAAACUUGAGCUAAUACCGAAUGUGCCCUUCGGGGAAAGAUUUAUCGCCAUUAGAGCGGCCCGCGUCUGAUUAGCUUGUUGGUGAGGUAAAGGCUCACCAAGGCUACGAUCAGUAGCUGGUCUGAGAGGAUGAUCAGCCACAUUGGGACUGAGACACGGCCCAAACUCCUACGGGAGGCAGCAGUGGGGAAUCUUGCGCAAUGGGCGAAAGCCUGACGCAGCCAUGCCGCGUGAAUGAUGAAGGUCUUAGGAUUGUAAAAUUCUUUUCACCGGGGACGAUAAUGACGGUACCCGGAGAAGAAGCCCCGGCUAACUUCGUG
Molecule: ribosomal RNA, 433 nt
Filed under: uncultured bacterium
Lineage: Bacteria
Description: bacterial SSU rRNA
Rfam family: Bacterial small subunit ribosomal RNA
Source: RNAcentral